AAACAAAUUAGUAAAUUAUAUAAGCCCUUUAUAAGAGAUUGCUAUUUACUUCCGCUGUACAUUCAAUGCUAUAUACGUUUCUAACAAAAUAUUCGAUGCACGUUUCAAAAAUCAAUUCAGAAGCUUAAAAACUUUCCAAUAAUGUUGAAAUUAUAAAUAUAUUCUUAGUUUGCGAUAUUCCAGCUAAUUCAGAGGUCUCCAGCUAAACUGUUUUUUUUAGCAUACAGCAGCUCGCUU
Non-coding RNA from Schizosaccharomyces pombe (fission yeast), 237 nucleotides. NCBI's taxonomy places the organism in Eukaryota, Fungi, Ascomycota, Schizosaccharomycetes, Schizosaccharomycetales, Schizosaccharomycetaceae. The record is from the annotation of a GenBank genome assembly.